This 75-nucleotide transfer RNA is filed under the name Candidatus Saccharimonadota bacterium. RNAcentral's name for it is "tRNA-Gln". It matches the Rfam family "tRNA". Rfam says of the family: Transfer RNA (tRNA) molecules are approximately 80 nucleotides in length. Their secondary structure includes four short double-helical elements and three loops (D, anti-codon, and T loops). The record is from RNAcentral. Lineage: Bacteria; Candidatus Saccharimonadota.
UGGGGCGUGGCCAAGUGGUAAGGCAACGGUUUUUGGUGCCGUGCACCGUAGGUUCGAAUCCUACCGCCCCAGCCA